UCGUUGUUAGUGUUCCAGCUUCUGGUGGUAAAGCUGAGUGACCUGGAUGACCGGAGGAGAGCUGCUGAGCGACGGCCCACACCAACAGGCAGAGGAUCGCACCGGUUGGACCUCACACCUGCCGCUGGAGAGAGGGAGGUCACAGCAGAGGAAAUACAUUCAGUGUUUGACUCAUUCACCUCCACUUAAAUCACUGUACCCCAGGUGACAUAAAGCCAGAAAAACUGAGAGGAUCCAAUAGGAAAUGUACAGUAGAGAGAGUAGGAGAGAUGCUAAUGUAGCCCAACGUGUGAGCUUCCUUGUGGGAGGAGACAGAUACUGCACGACAUGUUGUUAACACCAGCAAGUUACAGUUAAAGUACAGGCCCACUGAAAAGACAGCAGAAAGAAUCCCUCCCAUCUCGCACUUUAUGGCAGAUAAUGGAGAAAAGUAUCAGGACCUUUUACUACUGGUCUACAUCCUCAAAUAUAACCUGCAGACAUCAUAUGUUGUAUACAGUACCAGGAAUCCACACUCUAAUUUAUGACUAGACCCAAAUCUAGGUCUUCAUUACUAUAAGCUCCAAGACAAAACAUUCUGAGAUGUUGUUAUAAAACAUCAGAGAUAUCAAAUGUCCAUUUGUUGAAUAAAUUACUACCAGGAAUCCUUUAAGAUUUAGUGCUAUGAUUAGUUUACAGACUUUCAAACACAUAUGUAUUGCUUUGCCUGGCUGAUUUAACAAUGGGAUUUUCCUUGUGUGUCAACACAAUUUGUUAACAGAUGGGGAGAGGAUGAAGGAAGACCUGAAACGCAACAACCUACAAUGCCCGCAGAUCUCGACAGGCAUGUCCUGAUCAGCCUCUGCAGCAGACGACUCCACAUCUGCAUCUGCACUGCUUUCACUACCCUGAGCUGACAGACCACACGGAGACUCUGGGCUUACAGACUCACCACUGGCACAGACAGACACACACAAACAGAUGGUUCUUACUGAUUACAUUUAAUGCUAUUUAAGCAAUGAGAACUUUAGUGUUGUUAUUUUCUCAAUUGCAGUCUUCUGGUGGGAACCAGCUGUAUUACAUCAACAGGAUGGCCUGCUCCCUCUCCUCUAGCCUCCUCUUCAGGGAGUCGAUCUCCUUCUGCUUCUCUAGCAGCUCCUUCUGGAGACGAUAGUUGCUCUCCUCCAGAGUCUCACAGAACGCCUGGAGGCAGGCGACAGCAGAGAAAAGAAAAACAAAGACCAUUUGUUUCCAGCGGAAACGAAGGGUUGAGGGAAAAUAUAACGGGCCACACAGGAGAAGACAGGGAUAACAUUUCUGAGCAAGAACAAACAUAAUCAACAAGCAAACCUACAGGCAGGCUGUACAUUCAUCCCAAGGCAUAUUUAAAUCUAUAAUUGUUUACAGGUUUUAAAUGUCUGCCUGAAAAAAAUGUCCACAUUAAGUAGGCUUAUUUUAUGACUGCAGCUAUAGGGAGCAAACUUGUGACAUGUUUGUUUUUUUAAUUGCCUGUAAUGAGAGUGAGUUCCUGCCCUUGUCACCACAUGCCAUCAAACUACUUCAUAUCCCUGUAAAAUGUGGGACGGUAUCAUUUAUAAAUGUUUAAAUACAGUGUCCAUAUGAUACCUGAGGUUUGGUAGUGACUUAAAAAUUAUACUUUAUUUUGCUGAGUAUAAGCACUAAGCACUCAGAAAAACACAACAAAAAAACCUACAGGUCCAGUAAUGCAGCAGCUUUUAUUUUUCACACAAUUUCACCUUUCUAUUUUCCAGGUUAAAUGUAUUUUCCUUUUAAAUGUCUGUGAUAUCUGCUAAAUCAGCUAAAUGCAUGUAUCUUUUCUGUGUAUAUUGUGUAUAUUUAUCUGUAUGUUUCUGUGUUGCAGUGGCUGUGAAAACUAAAAGCAGCAACAGACUUACUAGAUAUCCUUAAGCUGAUGAUACACAGAGCAACUUUUAGAGCAAUCAUGCAGGGCAACGUUGCUGUCAAUGGUAAUGAGUAAAGAUUACCGCUGUAAUCCCCUUCCCCACCACUCCGCCACCCGCACCGCCCCUAUCCGUUCAAAACAUAGUUUGACUUGCCACUAGCAAGAUUGCCCAGCAACAUUGCUCAAAAAGUUGCCCCGUGUAUCAUCAGCUUUAGUGUCUAUGGACAUUUGUGUAAACUUCAGAUAUUUGAAAAUGUUUUUAUACUCCCAGCUAUGCAAAACAUAAUUGGUUUAUCAAAACUACUAUAUGACUGUUCAUUACCAAACCCUAUUAAAAUGACAAGCAUGCUCUUUAAAA
Molecule: long non-coding RNA, 2261 nt
Organism: Micropterus dolomieu (smallmouth bass)
Lineage: Eukaryota; Metazoa; Chordata; Actinopteri; Centrarchiformes; Centrarchidae
Exons: 3
Source: RefSeq, a predicted model, not a curated record